RNAcentral lists this long non-coding RNA (4798 nucleotides) under Mytilus galloprovincialis (Mediterranean mussel). The record is from RNAcentral. Lineage: Eukaryota; Metazoa; Mollusca; Bivalvia; Mytilida; Mytilidae.
CAAAACUCACGUUUUUGCCAAUUCAGGCAUUGUCAACAAUCUCAAUAAUAAUUGCAGACAAAAAUUUCAAAAUUUACAUGCAGUGCAUGUUUAAUUUAGAAGAUAAAUCAAUGUUUAUUUUAAAAUUCAAAGAACGGUUAUGUUAUAUUUUCUAUCCAAAAUGUGAGAUGCUAAAAAAUAACAUUAGAAAAAUUUGAAUUUAUAUUGUCUAGAAUUCUAGAUAGUAACAACAGAAUGCAUUAGAUUCAGGACAACAUAUUAAAUCAACAAUUGUCUUUUUAAAUGUGAAAGUUUGUUGUGUUUCAUAACAAUAAUUUUUUACCAUGUACUGUUAUCUAUUUGAAUGAAUCAAUGCAUAAUUUGUACAUAGGCUUACAUUAGAUGUAUGUACUCAAGGUGAUAUUUUGUACAACGAAAAAUAUGAGUGUUUAGAUUAGCCUGUACCAUUUGUUAUGUUUGAAAGUUGUUAAUGUCUUCAUACUAAUUGUGAUUAUUUCAUAGUUCUGGGAAAUGUAUUUGAAGUGAAAGAACUUCAAUUUUAUGCCUACAUUUUAGGCCAUGGACUAAAUUAUUAUCUGUGGCUCCUAAUUACAUGUAUAUGUUAUGCUUUUAUGCUUUGUUUUUUUUAAUUUCAAGAUUUUUAUUAUUUGAUGUGAAGCUUUUAUGUAGGUAAGUUUGUGUUAAUCCUUAAAACUUUAUUAGAAACUGGCAAGUUGUAGGAUUAAACGAAUUUUUUUUCGAAAAAUAAAAUUGUCCCUGAAAAAGGUUUUAAUUCUCCACCCCUUUUUGAAUAAUGCUGUUGGAAGACAGUGUUGAGGUGUUAUUUCAUAGAAUAAAUAUAUUUAUACCAAUGAUAAGCACUUUAUAAGGAUGUAGACGGUGAUUAAUUUCUUACAGAAUGAAUGGUGAAAAAUUGUAUAACAAUUUGAGCUUUCAUUGAUGGGGCAUACUUAAUUACUUUAUCCGACCAACUCCUGCAGUUUCCAAACUGAAAUAUUUCUUUUUGUGGAAUGUUUGAAGAUAUGAAACAUAUGUGCAUGUUGUCAGGUUCAUUAAGUUAAUCAAAUAUGGAAAUAAACCUUAACUAGAUCAAUAAUUACCUUUUUCUCUAUGUACAUAUUCAUGUAGGUGAAACAUAUGUGUCUUACAUACAUAUGUAGGUUACUUGCAGUGCAAAAAACAAAAUACAGUUUGCCCAAUUAAAUUCAUUGCUCAAAGGCUUUUUUAUCAGGUCUAUUUUUUGCAUUAUUAUUGCUUAAACUUUAGUUUUCAAAUAGUUAACUCAAAAAUCUUUUCUUUGUUUUAAUUGAUGGUUAAUGUCUGGAGUGGAAUAUUGUAAAUAUAUAUUCAGAUCAAUAGCAUUUUAAGGUCAUACUAGACCAACAUGCCAAGUAGGAUUUUUAUCUACCAAUUAAUUUGUUGGAACAGUAAAGUUUGUUCACGAGUCUAGUGAUCAUUAUACUAACUUCUUGCCAACCAGUUUGUGUCCUGGUUAUUGUUGCUUGCUUGUAAUGAAAAGUAGAAACUAGUUUUUGAAGAGUCUGGUGUGUCCCAGUUGUUCUUACUUGGUAUUUAGUUAAAUAAGGAUAUUAUGGUAAAGGUUGCAUUAAAGUUCAAUUGAAUCCUGGUCACUUACUGUUAAGCUUAAUUUCAGCCACCCUCCUAAAAUAAUUUUUUGGGAGUAGACUGAACAUACUUAGUGCAGUGAGGUGAACAUGAAUACGAUCCUAUCCAUGUCAAGUAUGUGUGUGUUAUUUAUACCAGGUCAUAUUUUGUUCAGAUAACAAUUUACAUGUAAGGUGGAAGAAUACUACUAUUAUGGACCAAGGAAGAUAACUCAAUUUAUAAAUAUUUUCUAACUACUAUUUCACCAUACACAAUAAAGACAAGAUUAAAACCACAUUUUAGUAGUAUCUGCUGUUGCUAUAUUCAUAUCUGAGCUAAAAGAAGCCGGAGUAAAAAGUUUUUGCUAUAGCUUUUUUUUUAAUACUGUUUUAUUAAGCACUAUGGAACCACUGUCAUUUUUUCCAAUACAAUAUAUAGUUAAAAUUAUCUUCUUGCAUUUCAUUAAUCAGAUGGUUUCUAAACACUUACUAAUUUUACGUUCUGUAAAGUGGGAAAUUUUUUGGAGGAGAUUAUUUUUCUUAGUUAAUGAUUUAGAGAGAAAAAAAUGGAGAAAAUAUCACCUUGCCUAAAUUUUUAUCCUCUUAGAAAGAUUAGAAACAGGAAAAGAAAAAUCAUGAAACUCCUGGACAAAAAUCCACAAUUAUAUGAUAAGAAAAGGCUGCUUGCGUGCAAUUUUUUUCUUUAAAUUUGUAAUGGGGUUCUAAAAAGGGUUUCUGUGCAUUUAUUUAAAUUUAAAGGGCCAACAUGGUUGAAGUGAAAUUUGAUCAUGUUUUUUUUAAUGAAUGUAAUAUUUUGUAAAAAGCCUUUGAUGACCCUGACAUUAACCAUAGAUUUCUCCUGAGAAAUACAAGCUCCUUUAAAGACUAUAGUUUGGUAUUGUACAUUUUUUUGGUGCUAUUGAAUAGAUAAAGCUAACAAGCAUUGCUCAUUUCAUUGAUUAUAGAUAUAUUUAUAUAACUUGUAAUUAGCUCAUAUGAACCAAAGGGUUAUUUUGAGGUAUAUAUAGAAUGUUAUGUCAUCCAUUUAGUGACUUUUUAUUUUCAACAUCUCCAUCAAAACUUUUUUAAAUUGAUACAAACUUUGCAGAAAUAAUGUAUGGAUGUUUCUUUAUGGAAAAAAAUACUUUGGUCAGCCAAAAUAUCAUUGCUGCUAGAAUUAAUUUUAAUUCUGAUUGGUCAAGGAAUAGGUCCAUGAAUGCAUUUAGCCCUUAAAAUCACAAUUUGCUAUACUGCAAGAAAUUGGCAGUAACAGUGUUUUGUCAUGUUACGGUUUUCAUUUUCUCACAAAUGAUCAUUUUGGUCAGAGCAUAUAGGCAAUGUUUCUGAAAUCCAAAUCAUGUAUAUUGUUGUGACUUUAUAAUGGCAUGAUGAAAAUCACUUGUAAAAUAGCUCAAUUCAGGUAUAUCAAAAUAUUUGUAUGUAAAAUUAGUGUUAUUAUUUUAGGUUAAAUUUUAUGGAUUUUCUGUACAAUUUUUCACCCUGUCUUAGCCCUGCAAAACAGGCCAAAGAAAAACAAACAAAAUUACCUUCUUUGUUGUAAUUUUAAGUUUGCAAUCUGAAAAGUCACAAUUAAAAUAAAAAUUUACAUAUUUCCACAUAUAAUACCAUAUUAAUUGAUGAUUUAGAGAACAUGUUCAAAAUUUCUAAACCCUAAAGAUCUUCUGAGAUACAAGGUUAUGCCUCAUUGGUUGGUUUGAACCCAAUGAGAACUCAAGAUUUUUCUCAUAUUCUGUAAAGCUUAAGUAUCAAACUUUCUCAGAAAAAUGUAAAGUAAAGUGAAAUGAUUCAUGCUAACCUUUAAAUUUAACAAAACUACUAGUAAGUGCUAAUCCUACUCUAAAAUAGAAUUUUUCUAUGUAUAAACUAUCAAAGAACUAGGCAAUAACAGCCUAUUUAAGAUUUGAUAUUCUGAACAGUGUGCAUGCAAGUUCCAAACAUUACUACAGAGUUACUGAUAUAGGCCCUCUUUACUCUUUACUUUAUAUUUCAUAUUGCCUUAGCAAUGACAUAACAUUCAAAUUUGAAAAUUAUGGCACUAUUUAUCUUUUGCACGAGGUGAAACAAUUUGUUAAAUACUGGGUUAGGCCGUAUGUGUUUCAUUUAAUGUAAAUGUAUUUUAGGCCAAUCAAUGUUUGUAAUUUUUAUACGACCGCAAAAAUUUUAAUUUUUCGUCGUAUAUUGCUAUCACGUUGGCGUCGUCGUCGUCCGAAUACUUUUAGUUUUCGCACUCUUACUUUAGUAAAAGUGAAUAGAAAUCAAUGAAAUUUUAACACAAGGUUUAUGACCACAAAAGGAAGGUUGGGAUUGAUUUUGGGAGUUUUGGUCCCAACAUUUUAGGAAUUAGGGGCCAAAAAGGGCCCAAAUAAGCAUUUUCUUGGUUUUCACACUAUAACUUUAGUUUAAGUGAAUAGAAAUCUAUGAAAUUUUGACACAAGGUUUAUGACCACAAAAGGAAGGUUGGGAUUGAUUUUGGGAGUUUUGGUUCCUACAGUUUAGGAAUAAGGGGCCAAAAAAGGGCCCAAAUAAGCAUUAUUCUUGUUUUUGCACAAUAACUUUAGUAUAAGUAAAUAGAAAUCUAUGAAAUUUAAACACAAGGUUUAUGACCAUAAAGUGAAGAUUGGGUUUGAUUUUGGGAGUUUUGGUCCCAACAGUUUAGGAAUAAGGGGCCCAAAGGGUCCAAAAUUGAACUUUGUUUGAUUUCAUCAAAAAUUGAAUAAUUGGGGUUCUUUGAUAUGCCGAAUCUAACUGUGUAUGUAGAUUCUUAAUUUUUGGUCCCGUUUUCAAAGUGGUCUACAUUAAGGUCCAAAGGGUCCAAAAUUAAACUUAGUUUGAUUUUAACAAACAUUAAAUCCUUGGGGGUUCUUUGAUAUGCUGAAUCUAAAAAUGUACUCAGAUUUUUUAUUAUUGGCCCAGUUUUCAAGUUGGACCAAAUCGGGGUCCAAAAUUAAACUUUGUUUGAUUUCAUCAAAAAUUGAAUAAUUGGGGUUCUUUGAUAUGCCAAAUCUAACUGUGUAUGUAGAUACUUAAUUUUUGGUCCCAUUAUCAAAUUGGUCUACAUUAAAGUCCAACGGGUCCAAAAUUAAGUUUGAUUUUAACAAAAAUUGAAUUCUUGGGCUUUUUUGAUAUGCUGAAUCUAAACAUGUACUUAGAUUUUUGAUUAUGGGCCCAGUUUU